RNAcentral lists this transfer RNA (76 nucleotides) under Nannocystis exedens. RNAcentral describes it as "tRNA-Glu". It matches the Rfam family "tRNA". Rfam says of the family: Transfer RNA (tRNA) molecules are approximately 80 nucleotides in length. Their secondary structure includes four short double-helical elements and three loops (D, anti-codon, and T loops). The record is from RNAcentral. Lineage: Bacteria; Pseudomonadati; Myxococcota; Nannocystales; Nannocystaceae.
UGACCCUGUCGUCCAGAGGCCUAGGACAGUGGCCUUUCACGCCACCAACACGGGUUCGAAUCCCGUCAGGGUCGUC